This 980-nucleotide long non-coding RNA is filed under the name Ficedula albicollis (Collared flycatcher). RNAcentral describes it as "lncRNA (ENSFALG00000019999.2)". Lineage: Eukaryota; Metazoa; Chordata; Aves; Passeriformes; Muscicapidae. The record is from RNAcentral.
GAGUCUAAAACAGAAGAGCUGAGAAAUCAGUCUGUGGCCAUCGUGGACUGGAGCUCAUUGAGAUGGCAGCUUCUGCCCAGGGCCAAUCCACCCACCACUCUCCCUGCCCUUUGCCUAAUCGUCUUUAUUUUUUCCCUUUCCCUUUCUAAACUAUCUUCCAUUGUGGAUUUUGGAAUUACUGGCUGGAAUUACCCUUUUCUGAGGAACACCGCUACAUGUGAGCUAAUUCUGUGCAUCUCUCUUAAGGAAAGCGGCUCGGAGGUCCUCAGCCUAGAGAAGGGGCUCAAACACCUGAGGGGCCGAACGCCCGUGAGGUCGGGGAGGACGGUGGCCACUGCCCCGCCGGGCCGAGCCACAGCAGAGCCCCCGGCGCCGAGCGGGAGCGGCCGGGGCGGGCCGGGCCUCAGGGGAGCGGCCGCGGCGGCCCCCCCCCCCCCCCCCCCCCCCCCCCCCCCCCCCCCCCCCCCCCCCCCCCCCCCGGCGGGGCCUGCGAGGGGAGCUGCGGGGGCUGCUCGGAGCCGGGAAAUGACGGGGGGAGCCACCAGAACUGCUGGGGAAACGCUGGUUCAGCCUAAGUUAGUAGAAAGGAAUUUUGUAUAACAAGUGAGAGAGAGAAGAUAGCUGGAGCUCUCAUCCUCUAUGAAUAUUUGCUUGCAGAAGCCAGGACGCUUAUUGUUUUCAAAAUGGCCAACCACAGUAAAUGGUAAAUAAACAUCUAAUGUCUUACAAACACCAGUCAGCCUUAGUGUUACUCAUCCUAUUCCACUACACUAAUUAGAAUGUGUUACUGUGCUUAGAUCACCAUAACUAUAUAUAAGAGUAUGUAUUGUCAAAUUCAUUAAAAUGCCCUCCCCCCAGAGAAUUUGGACUCGGAUGAUGUCAUCUGGAAGUGCAAACUGCUUACCCUGCCUUUUGAGUAUUCCCAUAUUUAUUAGGACAUAGUCAUGAGGGAAAACAGCAUAAUUUUUUUCUGAAAAUAC